GUCAACUACCCAGCACGGAAGUGACUGGGCUUCUGACCUAAAACUUCAGUUGUAGUUGACUAGCCUAAGACUUUAGAGGUCUACGUUUUUUGAGUUAUGACACCAAGCGGCUGCUUAGCUAGUCCCUUGCUCUGUCGUUAACGGUUAAACAUCUUUAUUUGGGUUAAGGACGUGCCGUUAGCCGAACAAGCUCACUAAACAAAGGCGCGUGCUAACACUAC
Molecule: non-coding RNA, 221 nt
Rfam family: HNH endonuclease-associated RNA and ORF (HEARO) RNA
Source: Rfam